RNAcentral lists this ribosomal RNA (445 nucleotides) under uncultured bacterium. RNAcentral's name for it is "bacterial SSU rRNA". It matches the Rfam family "Bacterial small subunit ribosomal RNA", at positions 331 to 792 of the family's 1533-position model. The record is from RNAcentral.
CCAGACUCCUACGGGAGGCAGCAGUGGGGGAUAUUGCACAAUGGGGGCAACCCUGAUGCAGCGACGCCGCGUGAGCGAUGGAGUACUUCGGUAUGUAAAGCUCUGUCAGCAGGGAAGAGAAUGACGGUACCUGACCAAGAAGCCCCGGCUAAAUACGUGCCAGCAGCCGCGGUAAUACGUAUGGGGCAAGCGUUAUCCGGAUUUACUGGGUGUAAAGGGAGCGUAGGCGGCAGGGCAAGCCUGAUGUGAAAGCCCGGGGCUCAACCCCGGGACUGCAUUGGGAACUGCCCCGCUCGAGUGCCGGAGGGGCAGGCGGAAUUCCUAGUGUAGCGGUGAAAUGCGUAGAUAUUAGGAGGAACACCAGUGGCGAAGGCGGCCUGCUGGACGGUGUACUGACGCUGAGGCUCGAAAGCGUGGGGAGCAAACAGGAUUAGAUACCCCUGUA